UUUUGGAGGGCUAGGCCGGAAAUGUCCAUGUUGUCUUGAUAGUGGUUUCUCAGCAGCUCGCACACUGACUGCCACGUCGAGCUACGGAGGAAAAGCGGCGUUCUGACCGACUUGGUCCCGUGAGGAGACCGGGACGUCACCGUGAGAAGAGUCGAGGAGCUGUCUGAAACACUCUGACUCCAUCUGUUUCUUUGAGCAAGCUGCUGCAGAGGCGUCAUGAGGCAACUCAAAGGCAAACCCAAAAAAGAAACCUCCAAGGACAAAAAGGAGCGUAAGCAAGCCAUGCAGGAGGCACGCCAGCAGGUGGCCACAAUUGUCCUGCCCACACUGGCUGUGGUGGUGCUGCUCAUCGUGCUCUUUGUUUAUGUGGCCACCAGGCCUGAUGCUAUCGAGUAGACCCUGUUGAUCUACUGAAGAGACAUGGACUACUCGAGGACUUUGACAAAUUGACAGCGGCUUCACCUAAAAGACCAUGUGGCACUCUCUUAACGGGGCAUUGGCCAGUGACAGCCCACCAUUCGUCUUAAUUAAAGCCUCCUCCAAAGAAGAUGACCAUUUUCAUUAGUAUCAUCAGCAGACUCAUGUGGAUGUCUCACAAUUAUGCAAUAUGUGACUUACCAAAGGACUUGUGUUCAACUUGCCAAGUGUGUCCAGAAGUAAACAGUCCUCAUCAGUUGUGUCGUGUCCUAGUGUGACUAGGUGCUGUUGUUGUACAUACAGUAUUUCAGGUCACUGCAACAUGAUCCUGGUGUCAGACUAAAAAUAUGAAUAACGUGCAUGGAGACAAUGUUAGAAGAAUCCAGUUUUUCCUGACGAGCUAGCUAUUUGAAUUCAACACUCAAGCAUUUCAUUGAAUGUCACUGAAGAAUCUGUCCAUGCAUCGUUUAGCUGCAUUUCUUCUCAUUGUAUUUUGAAAAAUGCCACUUCAGGGGGCUUUCAUCGUCCUACUUGUGCUCACACAAAGUCCGCUGGCCGCUGAGAUCUUAUCUUUCCAUACCCAGUGCUGUGUUAAGUAUGUCAACCUUUGCCUAUUGUUUCAUGGAAUGGGUUCGUACUGUUAGGGCUGGGUGAUAUGGCCAAAAACAUUGCCGUAAUAGAAAUGUUCUAUUUUCGAAUCGAUAUUGAAAAUUAUCUUCACGUUUACUGCCAGAUAUUUUUUUCAUGUGAUUGUAAUUUUGGACAAAAACGACAAAAGCUUCACACAUUUGAGGUAAAAUUUAAAGGCAAACACUAUUAAGGAAAAUGUAUUUUUGCUACAAUUUUACUACAUAAUUACCCAGCCCUAUGCACACACCCUAUGAACACCUGCAGUUCUUCAUCCGUAUUGUCACUGUUGCCUUAAAUUAUUGUAAACCAUACCUUUGAGUCUUUCAUGACAUCUGUGCAGAAGUGCCUUACCAGAUUUUCAGCUGUUAAUUCAGUUCACUUUAUUUUUUAUUAAAAAACAAUGGAAGUUUG
Long non-coding RNA from Solea senegalensis (Senegalese sole), 1458 nucleotides. RefSeq lists it as uncharacterized. NCBI's taxonomy places the organism in Eukaryota, Metazoa, Chordata, Actinopteri, Pleuronectiformes, Soleidae. The record is from RefSeq and is a predicted model, not a curated record. The transcript is spliced from 2 exons.